Molecule: ribosomal RNA, 247 nt
Filed under: uncultured bacterium
Lineage: Bacteria
Description: partial 16S ribosomal RNA
Rfam family: Bacterial small subunit ribosomal RNA
Source: RNAcentral
AUACGGAGGGUCCGAGCGUUAAUCGGAAUUACUGGGCGUAAAGCGUGCGCAGGCGGUUUGUUAAGCGAGAUGUGAAAGCCCUGGGCUCAACCUAAGAAUCGCAUUUCGAACUGACCUACUAGAGUCUUGUAGAGGGGGGUAGAAUUCCAGGUGUAGCGGUGAAAUGCGUAGAGAUCUGGAGGAAUACCGGUGGCGAAGGCGGCCCCCUGGACAAAGACUGACGCUCAUGCACGAAAGCGUGGGGAGC